RNAcentral lists this ribosomal RNA (253 nucleotides) under uncultured bacterium. Its description in RNAcentral is "partial 16S ribosomal RNA". It matches the Rfam family "Bacterial small subunit ribosomal RNA", at positions 524 to 776 of the family's 1533-position model. The record is from RNAcentral.
UACAGAGGGUGCGACCGUUGCUCGGAAUUACUGGGCGUAAAGCGCGUGUAGGCGGGACGAUAAGUCGGAAGUGAAAUCCCCGGGCUCAACCCGGGAACUGCUUUCGAAACUGCCGUCCUCGAGUACCGGAGAGGGUGGCGGAAUUCCUGGUGUAGAGGUGAAAUUCGUAGAUAUCAGGAGGAACACCGGUGGCGAAGGCGGCCACCUGGACGGUUACUGACGCUGAGACGCGAAAGCGUGGGGAGCAAACAGG